CCUACGGGAGGCAGCAGUGGGGGAUAUUGCACAAUGGGGGAAACCCUGAUGCAGCGACGCCGCGUGGGUGAAGAAGUAUUUCGGUAUGUAAAGCCCUAUCAGCAGGGAAGAAAGAAGACGGUACCUGACUAAGAAGCCCCGGCUAACUACGUGCCAGCAGCCGCGGUAAUACGUAGGGGGCGAGCGUUAUCCGGAUUCACUGGGUGUAAAGGGAGCGUAGGCGGCCGUGCAAGCCAGGAGUUAAAGCCCGGGGCCCAACCCCGGGACUGCUCUUGGAACUGUGCGGCUGGAGUGCGGGAGGGGCAGGCGGAAUGCCUGGUGUAGCGGUGAAAUGCGUAGAUAUCAGGAGGAACACCGGCGGCGAAGGCGGCCUGCUGGACCGCGACUGACGUUGAGGCUCGAAAGCGUGGGGAGCGAACAGGAUUAGAUACCCGGGUAGUC
Molecule: ribosomal RNA, 441 nt
Filed under: uncultured bacterium
Lineage: Bacteria
Description: partial 16S ribosomal RNA
Rfam family: Bacterial small subunit ribosomal RNA
Source: RNAcentral